This 324-nucleotide ribosomal RNA is filed under the name uncultured bacterium. RNAcentral describes it as "bacterial SSU rRNA". It matches the Rfam family "Bacterial small subunit ribosomal RNA", at positions 72 to 422 of the family's 1533-position model. The record is from RNAcentral.
GACCUUCGGGUCUAGUGGCGCACGGGUGCGUAACGCGUGGGAAUCUGCCCUUGGGUUCGGGAUAACAGUUGGAAACGACUGCUAAUACCGGAUGAUGUCUUCGGACCAAAGAUUUAUCGCCCAGGGAUGAGCCCGCGUCGGAUUAGCUUGUUGGUGAGGUAAAAGCUCACCAAGGCGACGAUCCGUAGCUGGUCUGAGAGGAUGAUCAGCCACACUGGGACUGAGACACGGCCCAGACUCCUACGGGAGGCAGCAGUGGGGAAUAUUGGACAAUGGGCGAAAGCCUGAUCCAGCAAUGCCGCGUGAGUGAUGAAGGCCUUAGGG